UUCCGACCUGCACGAAUGGCGUAAUGAUGGCCAGGCUGUCUCCACCCGAGACUCAGUGAAAUUGAACUCGCUGUGAAGAUGCAGUGUACCCGCGGCAAGACGGAAAGACCCCGUGAACCUUUACUAUAGCUUGACACUGAACAUUGAGCCUUGAUGUGUAGGAUAGGUGGGAGGCUUUGAAGUGUGGACGCCAGUCUGCAUGGAGCCGACCUUGAAAUACCACCCUUUAAUGUUUGAUGUUCUAACGUUGACCCGUGAUCCGGGUUGCGGACAGUGUCUGGUGGGUAGUUUGACUGGGGCGGUCUCCUCCUAAAGAGUAACGGAGGAGCACGAAGGUUGGCUAAUCCUGGUCGGACAUCAGGAGGUUAGUGCAAUGGCAUAAGCCAGCUUGACUGCGAGCGUGACGGCGCGAGCAGGUGCGAAAGCAGGUCAUAGUGAUCCGGUGGUUCUGAAUGGAAGGGCCAUCGCUCAACGGAUAAAAGGUACUCCGGGGAUAACAGGCUGAUACCGCCCAAGAGUUCAUAUCGACGGCGGUGUUUGGCACCUCGAUGUCGGCUCAUCACAUCCUGGGGCUGAAGUAGGUCCCAAGGGUAUGGCUGUUCGCCAUUUAAAGUGGUACGCGAGCUGGGUUUAGAACGUCGUGAGACAGUUCGGUCCCUAUCUGCCGUGGGCGCUGGAGAACUGAGGGGGGCUGCUCCUAGUACGAGAGGACCGGAGUGGACGCAUCACUGGUGUUCGGGUUGUCAUGCCAAUGGCACUGCCCGGUAGCUAAAUGCGGAAGAGAUAAGUGCUGAAAGCAUCUAAGCACGAAACUUGCC
Molecule: ribosomal RNA, 818 nt
Filed under: Escherichia coli
Lineage: Bacteria; Pseudomonadati; Pseudomonadota; Gammaproteobacteria; Enterobacterales; Enterobacteriaceae
Description: partial 23S ribosomal RNA
Rfam family: Bacterial large subunit ribosomal RNA
Source: RNAcentral